GUGGCGAACGGGUGAGUAACACGUGAGUAACCUGCCCUUGACUCUGGGAUAAGCGUUGGAAACGACGUCUAAUACCGGAUACGACCUUCGAAGGCAUCUUCUGAAGGUGGAAAGAAUUUUGGUCAAGGAUGGACUCGCGGCCUAUCAGCUAGUUGGUGAGGUAACGGCCCACCAAGGCGACGACGGGUAGCCGGCCUGAGAGGGUGACCGGCCACACUGGGACUGAGACACGGCCCAGACUCCUACGGGAGGCAGCAGUGGGGAAUAUUGCACAAUGGGCGAAAGCCUGAUGCAGCAACGCCGCGUGAGGGACGACGGCCUUCGGGUUGUAAACCUCUUUUAGUAGGGAAGAAGCGAAAGUGACGGUACCUGCAGAAAAAGCACCGGCUAACUACGUGCCAGCAGCCGCGGUAAUACGUAGGGUGCAAGCGUUAUCCGGAAUUAUUGGGCGUAAAGAGCUCGUAGGCGGUUUGUCGCGUCUGCUGUGAAAACUGGAGGCUCAACCUCCAGCCUGCAGUGGGUACGGGCAGACUAGAGUGCGGUAGGGGAGAUUGGAAUUCCUGGUGUAGCGGUGGAAUGCGCAGAUAUCAGGAGGAACACCGAUGGCGAAGGCAGAUCUCUGGGCCGUAACUGACGCUGAGGAGCGAAAGCAUGGGGAGCGAACAGGAUUAGAUACCCUGGUAGUCCAUGCCGUAAACGUUGGGAACUAGAUGUAGGGGCCAUUCCACGGUUUCUGUGUCGCAGCUAACGCAUUAAGUUCCCCGCCUGGGGAGUACGGCCGCAAGGCUAAACUCAAAGGAAUUGANGGGGCCCGCACAAGCGGCGGAGCAUGCGGAUUAAUUCGAUGCAACGCGAGACCUUACCA
This 865-nucleotide ribosomal RNA is filed under the name Microbacteriaceae bacterium CTLA01. Its description in RNAcentral is "bacterial SSU rRNA". It matches the Rfam family "Bacterial small subunit ribosomal RNA", at positions 95 to 976 of the family's 1533-position model. Lineage: Bacteria; Bacillati; Actinomycetota; Actinomycetes; Micrococcales; Microbacteriaceae. The record is from RNAcentral.